This is a small nucleolar RNA of Mus pahari (shrew mouse), 128 nucleotides long. RefSeq annotates it as small nucleolar RNA SNORA17. The record is from RefSeq and is a predicted model, not a curated record. NCBI's taxonomy places the organism in Eukaryota, Metazoa, Chordata, Mammalia, Rodentia, Muridae. The transcript has a single exon.
CCUGCCCCUAGAAGCAUUAUAGGUUUGUCUGCUUUGUCACAUGAGUCAGGAGGGGACAGAGGAGAGAAGCUAUGUCUGUGUCAAGUGUUUUGUUCUAUGAAAAUCUGAAUGAUUAGUAGCCUAACAUU